AUUGUCUCCGUUUUAUGGUUUAGGAAACUGAAGCUCAGAAUACAGGGCUGAUGCUAGGCCAUUUGGGGACCUUUGGGUGAGUUAGAGAAAGGGACCCUUCAAGACACUUUACAAACUAUUUGCUAAAAACUUAUUUCAAUGGAUAAACAAAUCUAUGGUGAUUACCAUUUGAGCAACACCCCUGAGUUGGCCCACCACCUGCGCAAUAGUACCUGCUGGUCUUGCUGGCGAGGUUAAGUAAUUUUUCAGACAUCCAAGGCCGGCAAGUGAAGGGGGUUGGGCUUAGAACCCGAGUCCUUGCUCUUCAGUCCACUGUGUUCUGAUGCCUCUCUGGUUCCCUCUCUUUAUGCACAGACGACAAUCUUAAUCAGACAGGAAGGAUGAGGCCGUGUAGAAAAGAACUGACUGAUGGCAAGGAGCCCUCCCGAAGCCUUUGCUUCAGCCUCUCCAUGUUCUGAGAGAGGAGGAGCCAGGUGGCGAUAUCACCUUAUGAAAAUGAUACUCUUCUGCGGACUGGAGGCCUCCGGUUAUUUCUGAGACCGUGUGUAUACAAAGAGACUUCUUUGUGAAUAUAUGGAGGGAAAGCCAUAUAUUAUCGUUUACAUAGCGAUCUGACUGAAACGUUCAAGGGGACUGGCAACUCCAGGAGGGAUGGGACUGUGUCUGUUGUCAUGCUUAUAGCCUAGCUUAUAGUUCAUGUAUUGGGCACUCAGUAAAUAAAUAAAGCUUUUGAACCAUUUAGAUUGUCACUGGAAGAACCAUUUCAAGAGUGUGGAAAAUCCUGGAACAUGCACAGGGGCCUAGGAUUUGGAGAAGUUGGGGGCUAUUGGUGAUCCUGAUGGAUUAUCAAUUGAGCAGAGACUCAGCUAGGCAGCAUUGGGAAGGUAGAAACAUCAAGAGUGAUCUGAGGCUCUUCUAAUUGCUUUGUGUUUCCUAAAUUUCUCUUGAUGAGGAAAAGAAUUUCUCCCUUUAUAAUCUAGGGGGUUGUAAACCAACAAAUUUGAAUUUUUUCCUUGCUUCUGUAUUGCUUCUAAUGAUGGCUCUGUCUUGGAAAGGAUCUCCAAAAAUAAUGUCCUCUUCUCUGCCUGUCAUUCAGUGGUAAAUUGUUUAUUCUGUAAUUUAUUUAUUGUUCAUUCAUUCAGUCCACAAAUAGUCACUGAACAACUCUGAUGUACAGAGCGCUCAUCUAGACUGUGCGACCAUCUCUGACCUUUUCCUAUCGUGGCUCCUUUGAGUUCAGUUAAUCACAAUCCUACCAGCCGUAGCAUCCACAUCCGUGCUCCUCUCUGUUUCUUCUGCUCUCACCCUAGCCCUGGCCUCCAUCUUCUUUCAUGUAG
RNAcentral lists this long non-coding RNA (1337 nucleotides) under Bos grunniens (domestic yak). RNAcentral's name for it is "lncRNA (ENSBGRG00000006293.1)". The record is from RNAcentral. Lineage: Eukaryota; Metazoa; Chordata; Mammalia; Artiodactyla; Bovidae.